GGCCCAGAUCGUUUACCGUGAAAAAAUUAGAGUGUUCAAAGCAGGCAGAUCCAAUUUUCUGCCACCGAAUACAUUAGCAUGGGAUAAUGGAAUAGGACCCUGUCCUCCUAUUUUCAGUUGGUUUUGGCAGCGCGAGGACUAGGGUAAUGAUUAAUAGGGAUAGUUGGGGGCAUUAAUAUUUAAUUGUCAGAGGUGAAAUUCUUGGAUUUAUGAAAGAUUAACUUCUGCGAAAGCAUCUGCCAAGGAUGUUUUCAUUAAUCAAGAACGAAAGUUAGGGGAUCGAAGACGAUCAGAUACCGUCGUAGUCUUAACCAUAAACGAUGCCGACCAGCGAUUAGGAGACGUUGAAUACAAAACACCACCAUCGGCGCGGUCGUCCCUGGCUCGUCGUUUCACGACGGCGGGCGGGGGCGGUUUAGCCCGAUGGCACCGGUGAAUGACUCCCUAGCAGCUUGUGAGA
RNAcentral lists this ribosomal RNA (460 nucleotides) under Acanthamoeba sp. RNAcentral's name for it is "SSU rRNA". It matches the Rfam family "Eukaryotic small subunit ribosomal RNA", at positions 740 to 1095 of the family's 1831-position model. Lineage: Eukaryota; Discosea; Longamoebia; Acanthamoebidae. The record is from RNAcentral.